Molecule: ribosomal RNA, 497 nt
Filed under: uncultured bacterium
Lineage: Bacteria
Description: partial 16S ribosomal RNA
Rfam family: Bacterial small subunit ribosomal RNA
Source: RNAcentral
GAUGAACGCUGGCGGCGUGCCUAAUACAUGCAAGUCGAGCGAACAGACGAGGAGCUUGCUCCUCUGACGUUAGCGGCGGACGGGUGAGUAACACGUGGAUAACCUACCUAUAAGACUGGGAUAACUUCGGGAAACCGGAGCUAAUACCGGAUAAUAUAUUGAACCGCAUGGUUCAAUAGUGAAAGUCGGUUUUUCUGUCACUUAUAGAUGGAUCCGCGCCGCAUUAGCUAGUUGGUAAGGUAACGGCUUACCAAGGCUACGAUGGGUAGCCGACCUGAGAGGGUGGUCGGCCACACUGGAUGUGAGACACGGUCCAGACUCCUACGGGAGGCAGCAGUAGGGAAUCUUCCGCGAUGGGCGAAAGCCUGACGGAGCAACGCCGCGUGAGUGAUGAAGGUCUUCUGAUCGUAAAACUCUGUUAUUAGGGAAGAACAAAUGUGUAAGUAACUAUGCACGUCUUGACGGUACCUAAUCAGAAAGCCACGGCUAACUACGUG